RNAcentral lists this ribosomal RNA (239 nucleotides) under uncultured Actinomycetales bacterium. RNAcentral describes it as "partial 16S ribosomal RNA". It matches the Rfam family "Bacterial small subunit ribosomal RNA", at positions 91 to 334 of the family's 1533-position model. The record is from RNAcentral. Lineage: Bacteria; Bacillati; Actinomycetota; Actinomycetes; Actinomycetales.
AUUAGUGGCGAACGGGUGAGUAACACGUGGGUGAUCUGCCCUGCACUUCGGGAUAAGCCUGGGAAACUGGGUCUAAUACCGGAUAGGACGAUGGUUUGGAUGCCAUUGUGGAAAGUUUUUCGGUGUGGGAUGAGCUCGCGGCCUAUCAGCUUGUUGGUGGGGUAAUGGCCUACCAAGGCGUCGACGGGUAGCCGGCCUGAGAGGGUGUACGGCCACAUUGGGACUGAGAUACGGCCCAG